RNAcentral lists this long non-coding RNA (1012 nucleotides) under Numida meleagris (helmeted guineafowl). Its description in RNAcentral is "lncRNA (ENSNMEG00000006108.1)". Lineage: Eukaryota; Metazoa; Chordata; Aves; Galliformes; Numididae. The record is from RNAcentral.
UUCACCAGAUGCUGUUUAGCAUUUGUUUCCACAUUCUGGGAAGUAAUCUCUAUAUUCUGUACAUAACCCUUAUGUACAGAAUAUGUGUCACAUAUCACCAUUGUCCUGGUGUUAAUAAAUGCUGGUAGUAGCUGUACUGGUGGUCACUGCGGCGCUGAGGAUCACUAAUGGACUCUUAGUCUAAAAUUUUAGGAAGUUCAUGAAAACUUUUCUUGAUAAUCCUGUUUUUUUUUUUUUCCCAUAUUGUUUUUUUUUUUCUUACUCCUUUCAUUUCACUUUUGCCAUCAGCUUAAUCAAUUAUGUUGGCUCUGACUAUAUUAUAUUGCCAAAUCUUCUCUUUUCUACCCCUGAAGUAGUUCAUCUGAUGUUAAAGAACAUUACAGUAGACAAGGUAGCAGUACUUAAACCACAGUGCUCUGUUUGGAAAGCCAGUGCUGAAGUGAGAGGCAUAGUGGUAGCUGCACCAACUGCCUUCACCAAUGAAGCUGCUAAGAUUCGUGUGUUGCCAGAGUAUGAAGCAGUACAAAUUCAGCGCAGAACAGUGCAUGGACUUCAAAAGCCCGGAAGGAUGAUCUGCUCACCCCCAAAUUGCUCUUGCUAAGGGACCUCUGCCCCACUGCAGCGCGGCACAGGGAUGCGCAGGGCUAGGAGAGUGCGCGCGGACGUGACAGAGGCAGGAAACGGGCUACAGCGCCUGGCUUCGGGUCGUGUUAUUCAUCCGAGAUCCUUCCCCGGCGUGAAACCUGCCAGACUCUGCUCAUGUUAUUUGCCGAUGUAUCGUCUUAUAUACAUUGAAUACACUUAGUUUAUUUCAUGUGUAUAUUUCAAAUGUAUUUCAUAUAUUUUGUGCAAUUGUUGUUCAAAAACCAUGGAUUGUGGUUGGUAUUCGCUUUCAAAAUAUUUUAAUAAUUUGAGUUUCAGUAACGAUUGAUAGCAUUCCUUAUAACCAAUUUAAAGUUAUUGUGAAUUUACCUCAGCACAAAAUAAAUACCUAAACUAGACGAUUGGAACA